GACGAACCGUCCAAACGUUGUUCGGAAUCACUGGGCUUAAAGGGCGCGUAGGCGGGCCAGUGGGUCCGGGGUGAAAUCUUUCGGCUUAACCGGAAAAGUGCCUUGGAUACCGCUGGUCUAGAGGGAGGUAGGGGCAUGUGGAACUUCUGGUGGAGCGGUGAAAUGCGUUGAUAUCAGAAGGAACGCCGGUGGCGAGAGCGACGUGCUGGAUCUCUUCUGACGCUGAGGCGCGAAAGCCAGGGGAGCAAACGGG
This 253-nucleotide ribosomal RNA is filed under the name uncultured bacterium. Its description in RNAcentral is "partial 16S ribosomal RNA". It matches the Rfam family "Bacterial small subunit ribosomal RNA", at positions 524 to 776 of the family's 1533-position model. The record is from RNAcentral.